UUUUCUAUUUUUAUUUUUAUUUUCUUUCUUUUCUUUCUCUCCAAGUAAUAAUAUGGCUCUACUUUCUUUUCCUUUUCUUUUUUCCUUUCCCACUAAUUAAAUUCUUUUGAAAUAAAAUAUUUCACUUACAAUCGCCCUCCUCUAAAUGCUCUCCAGUAUCCUCCUAGAAGGUAGGGGGAUAGUGCAACAAGAUCCCUUUGUCAUACACUCUAACCAUGUUAGCAAGGAAACACAAGCAGUAACUCUACUAUUUCAACCUCCAGCUAACUCUAGAUGAUAACAAACUCUAGAUGAUAACAAAGAGAAAGGUUUACACCACAACACCUAUUACCAAUUAUUGACAUUCAAUUUUGGCUCGCUAUGUUUCCUUUAAUUAUUUUUCGGUGCUCCUCGGCCUUAAAUAAUUUUUUAAAAUAAAUUCGUAUUUUUGUAUGAAUUUUGAGAAAAAAAGAUUUUAAAAAAAGUAUUUAUUUUCCUAUCAUAAGUUAAAAUAUUUU
Molecule: long non-coding RNA, 497 nt
Filed under: Capsicum annuum
Lineage: Eukaryota; Viridiplantae; Streptophyta; Magnoliopsida; Solanales; Solanaceae
Description: long non-coding RNA (CANN_LNC019865)
Source: RNAcentral